UCAGGACGAACGCUGGCGGCGUGCUUAACACAUGCAAGUCGUUCGCUGAAGCUUGGGUGUUUUUCAUCUGGGUGGUUGAGUGGCGAACGGGUGAGUAAUACGUGAGUAACCUGCCCUUGACUCUGGGAUAAGCCUGGGAAGCUGGGUCUAAUACUGGAUACUACGUGCCCUCGCAUGGGGGUGUGUGGUUAGGGUUUUACUGGAAAGGAUGGGCUCACCCGGUAUCAGCUUGUUGGUGCCGUAAUGGCCUACCAAGGCGACGACGGGUAGCCGGCCUUAGAGGGUGACCGGCCACACUGGGACUGAGACACGGCCCAGACUCCUACGGGAGGCAGCAGUGGGGAAUAUUGCACUUUGGGCGAAAGCCUGAUGCAGCGACGCCGCGUGACCGAUGACGGCCUUCCCGUUGUAAACCUCUUUCAGCACGGAAGAAGCGAAAGUGACGGUACGUGCAGAAGAAGCGCCGGCUAACUACGUGCCAGCAGCCGCGGUAAUACGUAGGGCGCAAGCGUUGUCCGGAAUUAUUGGGCGUAAAGAGCUCGUAGGCGGUUUGUCGCGUCUGCUGUGAAAGCCCGGGGCUUAACCCCGUGGUGUGCAGUGGGUACGGGCAGACUAGAGUGCAGUAGGGGAGACUGGAAUUCCUGGUGUAGCGGUGAAAUGCGCAGAUAUCAGGAGGAACACCGAUGGCGAAGGCAGGUCUCUGGGCUGUUACUGACGCUGAGGAGCGAAAGCAUGGGGAGCGAACAGGAUUAGAUACCCUGGUAGUCCAUGCCGUAAACGUUGGGCACUAGGUGUGGGGGACAUUCCACGUUUUCCGCGCCGUAGCUAACGCAUUAAGUGCCCCGCCUGGGGAGUACGGCCGCAAGGCUAAAACUCUUUGGAAUUGACGGGGGCCCGCACAAGCGGCGGAGCAUGCGGAUUAAUUCGAUGCAACGCGAAGAACCUUACCAAGGCUUGACAUACACCAGACCGGCCCAGAGAUGGGUUUUCCUCUUUGAGGUUGGUGUACAGGUGGUGCAUGGUUGUCGUCAGCUCGUGUCGUGAGAUGUUGGGUUAAGUCCCGCAACGAGCGCAACCCUCGUUCUAUGUUGCCAGCAC
RNAcentral lists this ribosomal RNA (1098 nucleotides) under Kocuria sp. 320CR. RNAcentral describes it as "bacterial SSU rRNA". It matches the Rfam family "Bacterial small subunit ribosomal RNA", at positions 24 to 1124 of the family's 1533-position model. The record is from RNAcentral. Lineage: Bacteria; Bacillati; Actinomycetota; Actinomycetes; Micrococcales; Micrococcaceae.